GGAUUAGAUACCCUGGUAGUCCACGCCGUAAACGAUGUGUGCUAGCCGUCGGAUGUUUGGCAUUCGGUGGCGCCGCUAACGCAUUAAGCACACCGCCUGGGGAGUACGGUCGCAAGAUUAAAACUCAAAGGAAUUGACGGGGGCCCGCACAAGCAGUGGAGCAUGUGGUUUAAUUCGAAGCAACGCGCAGAACCUUACCAACCCUUGACAUGGUGAUUUUGGAUGGUGGAGACACUUUCCUUCAGUUCGGCUGGGUCACACACAGGUGCUGCAUGGCUGUCGUCAGCUCGUGCCG
RNAcentral lists this ribosomal RNA (295 nucleotides) under uncultured bacterium. Its description in RNAcentral is "partial 16S ribosomal RNA". It matches the Rfam family "Bacterial small subunit ribosomal RNA", at positions 775 to 1067 of the family's 1533-position model. The record is from RNAcentral.